GAUGAACGCUGGCGGCGUGCCUAAUACAUGCAAGUCGAGCGAACAGACGAGGAGCUUGCUCCUCUGACGUUAGCGGCGGACGGGUGAGUAACACGUGGAUAACCUACCUAUAAGACUGGGAUAACUUCGGGAAACCGGAGCUAAUACCGGAUAAUAUAUUGAACCGCAUGGUUCAAUAGUGAAAGACGGUUUUGCUGUCACUUAUAGAUGGAUCCGCGCCGCAUUAGCUAGUUGGUAAGGUAACGGCUUACCAAGGCAACGAUGCGUAGCCGACCUGAGAGGGUGAUCGGCCACACUGGAACUGAGACACGGUCCAGACUCCUACGGGAGGCAGCAGUAGGGAAUCUUCCGCAAUGGGCGAAAGCCUGACGGAGCAAUGCCGCGUGAGUGAUGAAGGUCUUCGGAUCGUAAAACUCUUUUAUUAGGGAAGAACAAAUGUGUAAGUAACUAUGCACGUCUUGACGGUACCUAAUCAGAAAGCCACGGCUAACUACGUG
Molecule: ribosomal RNA, 497 nt
Filed under: uncultured bacterium
Lineage: Bacteria
Description: partial 16S ribosomal RNA
Rfam family: Bacterial small subunit ribosomal RNA
Source: RNAcentral